GACGAACGCUGGCGGCGUGCUUAACACAUGCAAGUCGAACGGAAAGGCCCUGCUUUUGUGGGGUGCUCGAGUGGCGAACGGGUGAGUAACACGUGAGUAACCUGCCCUUGACUUUGGGAUAACUUCAGGAAACUGGGGCUAAUACCGGAUAGGAGCUCCUGCUGCAUGGUGGGGGUUGGAAAGUUUCGGCGGUUGGGGAUGGACUCGCGGCUUAUCAGCUUGUUGGUGGGGUAGUGGCUUACCAAGGCUUUGACGGGUAGCCGGCCUGAGAGGGUGACCGGCCACAUUGGGACUGAGAUACGGCCCAGACUCCUACGGGAGGCAGCAGUGGGGAAUAUUGCACAAUGGGCGGAAGCCUGAUGCAGCAACGCCGCGUGCGGGAUGACGGCCUUCGGGCUGUAAACCGCUUUCGCCUGUGACGAAGCGUGAGUGACGGUAAUGGGUAAAGAAGCACCGGCUGACUACGUG
This 468-nucleotide ribosomal RNA is filed under the name uncultured bacterium. RNAcentral's name for it is "partial 16S ribosomal RNA". It matches the Rfam family "Bacterial small subunit ribosomal RNA", at positions 28 to 507 of the family's 1533-position model. The record is from RNAcentral.